Molecule: non-coding RNA, 72 nt
Filed under: Propionibacterium freudenreichii
Lineage: Bacteria; Bacillati; Actinomycetota; Actinomycetes; Propionibacteriales; Propionibacteriaceae
Also listed under: 1 other name
Description: Fluoride sequence
Rfam family: Fluoride riboswitch aptamer (crcB RNA motif)
Source: RNAcentral
GAUGAACGCGGCGAUGGAUUCCGCCUGGGCCUCGGCCCGAACCGCCGUCCGGCUGAUGAUUCCUGUCCCAUG